Molecule: long non-coding RNA, 909 nt
Organism: Neoarius graeffei (lesser salmon catfish)
Lineage: Eukaryota; Metazoa; Chordata; Actinopteri; Siluriformes; Ariidae
Exons: 3
Source: RefSeq, a predicted model, not a curated record
GACCAAACGAAGUUUUAUUAAAUCAUGUAAUUUAAUAUGGUAAAGUUCUAUUUCUUAUAUACUAUUUUAAUCCUACUUUACAUGUCUCAGUAGUAAUUUUCCCCCCUGUUAGAAUGAGUGUCAUUGGGAUGUAAUAAAAAACUACACUUCCCUACAAGCCAUUUACAGGAAGUGACAUCAUUUGGAGGCAUUUUCAAACUGUGGAAACUGAGGAAAUGGCACCACCACUGAGUGCAGCUGAGAUGCAACGGCGAUACAGGGCCAAGCGAGAUGCUGACCCAGAGAGAAGAGCAAUGUACCUGCAGAAAGAAAGAGAGAAGUAGAAGCAAGACAAGGCAUCAGGAAGAAAGAAAGGAAUAUCAGAUAUGACAGAGAGAGAGAAGCGGGCUCAGAGAAAAAAGUGGAGGGAGAGAAAGAGAGAGGCAAAAGCCAGGGAGAAAGCCAGAGCAGCAAUACCACCCAAUACCACCGGUGAUCCUACUCCUGAUACUGCAACAGACACCUCACCCCCAACUAAUACUCAUGCUUCACCUGAACAUUCCAGGCAAAGAAAGUUGGGGAACCAGCAGAGAAGCCGCAAUAAAAAAAGGCUGGAAAGAGAAAUUGAAAAGCUUAAAGCCCUCCUGAAAAAAGAAAAGUCAAGAAAGGAGAAAUACCGAAAGAGAUGGCAACGAAGCCAGUCCAAACCACAUCAGUCCCCUCUGGCAAAACUGAAUCAAGUUCUACAACGCACGGUCCCACAACCGUUACGCAGGGAACUUCUAUUCCAUGCAACAGUUGUGGAAGAAAUACGGAGAAAAUAUAAAAACACAAAAAAGAGAGAGAGAAGCAGAUGCUUGUUGUUGUUUUUAUUAUUGUUAAAAUGGCUAAAUUGAAACGUAUGCCAUACCGCAGAUGAAAUGAAAUAUG